AGGGGUGGAGGUGGUCCACCAUAAUAGCAAGGUCCCCCACCAACGCCAUGAUAGCAUUCCGUGCAACAGCAUCCGAUGGGGGGAUAAGCCAUUGGUGGUGGAGGACAAGGUUCUGGAACCUUUGGUGCUGGUGCUGGUGGUUUCGGUGGUGGUUCUUUUGGUUUCUCAGGUUCCUUAGGCUUUUCGGGUUCUUUCGGCUUUUCGGGUUGUUUAGGUUUCUCGGGUUCUUUGGGUUUUCCGGGUUCUUUUGGUUUUUCGGGUGCUUUAGGCUUUUCGGGUUCUUUUGGUUUUUCUGGUACUUUAGGCUUCUCUGGUUCUUUGGGUUUUUCAGGUUCUUUGGGCUUUUUGGGUUCUUUAGGCUUCUCAGGCUCAUUGGGUUUGGGAGGAGGAGGUGGAGGUUUGAUCUCAAUGCUCUUGAUUGAUCCAGCACCCUUGCAACAUAUCUUGUCCCUCAGCUUCUCAGGAUUGCAGCAUACCACAGUAAUGGUCACGGUGUUGGCUUUCUCAUCGUAUAUCUGGUCUCG
This 524-nucleotide long non-coding RNA is filed under the name Gossypium barbadense (sea-island cotton). RNAcentral describes it as "long non-coding RNA (GBAR_LNC017367)". The record is from RNAcentral. Lineage: Eukaryota; Viridiplantae; Streptophyta; Magnoliopsida; Malvales; Malvaceae.